Long non-coding RNA from Fukomys damarensis (Damara mole-rat), 410 nucleotides. RefSeq lists it as uncharacterized. The record is from RefSeq and is a predicted model, not a curated record. NCBI's taxonomy places the organism in Eukaryota, Metazoa, Chordata, Mammalia, Rodentia, Bathyergidae. The transcript is spliced from 3 exons.
GCAGCCCUGGAGACUGAAGUUGCUUUUUCUCCCAUUGCUCAUGUUUUCAUUAUUCCUUGGCAGAGAGGAAACAGACUACACAGUCUGCUUUGAAGACACACCUUAGAUUAUGUAAUCCUGCUGAAGCGGAAUUCAUGUUUUGGUUUUCGGCAAAGUCCUCAAUGAGCAGCGACGUCACAGACCUCCACAGCCGUGCUGAUUCCUCCCAGAACUGGUUGUGACUGUAUCAAAGAAAGCUCCUUUACACGGAAACAGAUGGGGCACAGCUGAGCCUCACUGAGAGCCGUACAGGAAGCAAGACAGCACCGCAGAGGGACUGUGGCUGACCUUCCUUGCACCCGAAAUGUUAAUUUCAACUGUUUGAAUCAUUUUAUUGCUAAAGUUAAAGAAUAAACUUAGCAAUGAUACAA